Molecule: long non-coding RNA, 499 nt
Organism: Haliotis rufescens (red abalone)
Lineage: Eukaryota; Metazoa; Mollusca; Gastropoda; Lepetellida; Haliotidae
Exons: 4
Source: RefSeq, a predicted model, not a curated record
UUCGUUUCCUUGCGAUAUUUCACGGGGAUUUCAGGUUUUGGAGUCAACACUUGUCGGAAGAUUGCGCCACAUGUGUGUUGUUUUUGGAAUUGUAUGUCAGUUACACUUUUGAUUGGACUGCAGAUAUGUCAGGCCGUGCAGGUGGUAAGAAGAAGCCUCUGAAGGCUCAAAAGAAAGAACAGAAGGAGAUGAGUGAGGAGGAUCUUGAUUUCAAACAAAAAAAGAAGGAAGAGCAAGCAGCCCUAAAGGCGAUGCGGGAGAAGGCCGGCCAGAAAGGACCUUUAACUGGAGGUGGAAUCAAGAAAUCUGGCAAGAAAUGACCCUGGCUUCUUCUGCCAUAUUUUUAGAGGCAUUUAACAUGUUUAACAGCAGAGAAGACUUUGCAAUCACUCCUGGUUUAUUAUACACUUGACUUCUUUGGGUCGACAUGUUUCCUUACAGCGUCAGCCAAAUGUUCGUAAUGUAUUUUAUCAUGUAAUAAAAUCUUUGAACUCCCAAA